CACGUAGGAGACGAGCGUUAUCCGGAUUUACUGGGUGUAAAGCGCGUGCAGGCGGUAUGGUAAGUUGGAUGUGAAAGCUCCUGGCUUAACUGGGAGAGGUCGUUCAAAACUACCAGACUUGAGGACAGCAGAGGGGAGUGGAAUUCCGAGUGUAGCGGUAAAAUGCAUAGAUAUUCGGAAGAACACCAGUGGCGAAGGCGGCUCUCUGGGCUGUAACUGACGCUCAGACGCGAAAGCUAGGGUAG
This 245-nucleotide ribosomal RNA is filed under the name uncultured Anaerolinea sp. Its description in RNAcentral is "partial 16S ribosomal RNA". It matches the Rfam family "Bacterial small subunit ribosomal RNA", at positions 524 to 768 of the family's 1533-position model. The record is from RNAcentral. Lineage: Bacteria; Bacillati; Chloroflexota; Anaerolineae; Anaerolineales; Anaerolineaceae.